RNAcentral lists this ribosomal RNA (102 nucleotides) under Spirochaetota bacterium. RNAcentral describes it as "Spirochaetes bacterium (wastewater metagenome) partial 23S ribosomal RNA". It matches the Rfam family "Bacterial large subunit ribosomal RNA", at positions 2824 to 2925 of the family's 2925-position model. The record is from RNAcentral. Lineage: Bacteria; Pseudomonadati; Spirochaetota.
CCCCUGAAGACUCCUCGAAGACUACGAGGUCGAUAGGAUGGCGGUGUAAGUGCGGUAACGUAUUCAGCCUACCAUUACUAAUCAGUCGUGAGGCUUGACCAU